AAUAGAUACCCAGGUAGUCCAUGCCGUAAACGUUGGGAACUAGAUGUAGGGACCAUUCCACGGUUUCUGUGUCGCAGCUAACGCAUUAAGUUCCCCGCCUGGGGAGUACGGCCGCAAGGCUAAAACUCAAAGGAAUUGACGGGGGCCCGCACAAGCGGCGGAGCAUGCGGAUUAAUUCGAUGCAACGCGAAGAACCUUACCAAGGCUUGACAUAUACGAGAACGGGCCAGAAAUGGUCAACUCUUUGGACACUCGUAAACAGGUGGUGCAUGGUUGUCGUCAGCUCGUGUCGUGAGAUGUUGGGUUAAGUCCCGCAACGAGCGCAACCCUCGUUCUAUGUUGCCAGCACGUAAUGGUGGGAACUCAUAGGAGACUGCCGGGGUCAACUCGGAGGAAGGUGGGGAUGACGUCAAAUCAUCAUGCCCCUUAUGUCUUGGGCUUCACGCAUGCUACAAUGGCCGAUACAAAGGGCUGCAAUACCGUAAGGUGGAGCGAAUCCCAAAAAGUCGGUCUCAGUUCGGAUUGAGGUCUGC
Molecule: ribosomal RNA, 533 nt
Filed under: uncultured bacterium
Lineage: Bacteria
Description: bacterial SSU rRNA
Rfam family: Bacterial small subunit ribosomal RNA
Source: RNAcentral